CACGACUCUCGGCAACGGAUAUCUCGGCUCUCGCAUCGAUGAAGAACGUAGCAAAAUGCGAUACCUGGUGUGAAUUGCAGAAUCCCGCGAACCAUCGAGUUUUUGAACGCAAGUUGCGCCCGAGGCCUUCUGGCUGAGGGCACGCCUGCCUGGGCGUCAC
RNAcentral lists this ribosomal RNA (160 nucleotides) under Cenchrus americanus (pearl millet). Its description in RNAcentral is "5.8S ribosomal RNA". It matches the Rfam family "5.8S ribosomal RNA". Rfam says of the family: 5.8S ribosomal RNA (5.8S rRNA) is a component of the large subunit of the eukaryotic ribosome. Lineage: Eukaryota; Viridiplantae; Streptophyta; Magnoliopsida; Poales; Poaceae. The record is from RNAcentral.